Molecule: ribosomal RNA, 853 nt
Filed under: uncultured Pseudomonadota bacterium
Lineage: Bacteria; Pseudomonadati; Pseudomonadota
Description: bacterial SSU rRNA
Rfam family: Bacterial small subunit ribosomal RNA
Source: RNAcentral
CAAGUCGAACGCGAAAGAAGCCUUCGGGUUUCAAGUAGAGUGGCGCACGGGUGAGUAACACGUAGGUAAUCUACCUUCGGGUGGGGAAUAACCCAGGGAAACUUGGGCUAACACCGCAUAAUGCAGCGGCACCACAUGGUGACAGUUGUUAAAGCGGGGGAUUUUCGGACCUCGCGCCUGAAGAGGAGCCUGCGGCAGAUUAGCUAGUUGGUAGGGUAACGGCUUACCAAGGCGACGAUCUGUAGCCGGCCUGAGAGGGCGGUCGGCCACACUGACACUGACAUACGGGUCAGACUCCUACGGGAGGCAGCAGUCGGGAAUUUUGGGCAAUGGGCGAAAGCCUGACCCAGCAACGCCGCGUGAAGGAUGAAAUCCCUCGGGAUGUAAACUUCGCAAGAAUGGGAAGAAUUAGUAGGGGACAAUACCCCCUAUGAUGACGGUACCAUUUGUAAGCUCCGGCUAACUCCGUGCCAGCAGCCGCGGUAAUACGGGGGGAGCAAGCGUUGUUCGGAUUUACUGGGCGUAAAGGGCGCGUAGGCGGCCAGCGCAAGUCAGUUGUGAAAUCUCCGGGCUUAACUCGGAAAGGUCAACUGAUACUGCGCGGCUAGAGUGCAGAAGGGGCAACUGGAAUUCUCGGUGUAGCGGUGAAAUGCGUAGAUAUCGAGAGGAACACCUGCGGCGAAGGCGGGUUGCUGGGCUGACACUGACGCUGAUGCGCGAAAGCCAGGGGAGCGAACGGGAUUAGAUACCCCGGUAGUCCUGGCCUUAAACGAUGGAUGCUUGGUGUCUGGAGUUUUAUAGUCUCCGGGUGCCGCAGCUAACGCGUUAAGCAUCCCGCCUGGGGAGUACGGUC